UACGUAGGGUGCAAGCGUUAAUCGGAAUUACUGGGCGUAAAGCGUGCGCAGGCGGUUUUGUAAGUCUGUCGUGAAAUCCCCGGGCUCAACCUGGGAAUUGCGAUGGAGACUGCAAGGCUAGAAUCUGGCAGAGGGGGGUAGAAUUCCACGUGUGAGCAGUGAAAUGCGUAGAGAUGUGGAUGAACACCGAUGGCGAAGGCAGCCCCCUGGGUCAGAUUGACGCUCAUGCACGAAAGCGUGGGAGCAAACAGG
RNAcentral lists this ribosomal RNA (252 nucleotides) under uncultured bacterium. RNAcentral describes it as "partial 16S ribosomal RNA". It matches the Rfam family "Bacterial small subunit ribosomal RNA", at positions 524 to 776 of the family's 1533-position model. The record is from RNAcentral.